AUGGCUACUUCUGUUUAUGGACCGCAAGAAAAUGAGGAUAAAGUCAGAUUUCUGGAGGAGAUUGUGGAAAUUGGGGGUCUGGUUCAACUGCCAUGGAUCCUGAAUGGUGACUUCAAUCUGGUGUGUGGAGAGGAAGAGCGAAGUACGAGAAGAAUCAAUAGAAGACUGGAAAAUAAAUUCAGACAUACGAUUAACACCUUGGGCCUGCAUGACAUGCCGUUGGUGGGGAGGAAAUUCACCUGGUGUAAUGAUCAGGAGCGCUCAGUAAUGGCAAGGUUGGACAAGGUGUUGUUCAACAGUGACUGGGAAGACACUUACCCCAUCAGUGACCUGUUACCGCUCAUCUCCAACAUAUCAGACCACUGCCCCCUUCUUCUGACUUGCUCUAUGGAUAGGCCAAGACAGCGUCGCUUUCGUUUUGAAAAAUUUUGGGUUAAGCUGCCCGGUUUUAUGGAUACGGUGAAGAUAGCCUGGGGCGAGCAAGUCGCCAGUAAUGAUCCCAUCAAGAUUUUCAGUGUUAAACUGCAGCACACCGCAAAGGCUCUCAGAAGUUGGGGUCAAAGGAAACAUAGCUAUAUGACCACCCUCUUUCAGAUUGCAAAUGAGCUGAUUUUGCGUUUGGAUGGCGCACAAGAAAUUCGAUCUUUGUCGGAAGAGGAACACAAGCUAAAGGCUUUCUUCAAGGGCAAGUGCCUAGCUCUCGCUUCCCUGGAGAGAGUACGUCUCUGA
This 729-nucleotide ribosomal RNA is filed under the name Triticum aestivum (bread wheat). RNAcentral's name for it is "partial small subunit ribosomal RNA". Lineage: Eukaryota; Viridiplantae; Streptophyta; Magnoliopsida; Poales; Poaceae. The record is from RNAcentral.